Vicia faba (fava bean) is the source of this 225-nucleotide non-coding RNA. The record is from the annotation of a GenBank genome assembly. Lineage: Eukaryota; Viridiplantae; Streptophyta; Magnoliopsida; Fabales; Fabaceae.
AUGGAGGAUGCUAGCAAGAGUGUUGGAAGUUGCAAUUCGUAUGAGUAUUCAAAGGUUCCUAGAUGCGGAUUUUGUUUUCUGAUGAAGAUGUGCUUUUCUAACACCGUAAAAAAUCGUAAUAGGAAAUUCUGGAAAUGUAGGAAUGCUGGGAUGGACAAUAGUAGUGAUCUAUUUAUUUGGGAUGAUGAAAUUUCUCACUCUAUUAGUGAAAUCUCAAAAUUCUGA